RNAcentral lists this ribosomal RNA (253 nucleotides) under uncultured bacterium. RNAcentral's name for it is "partial 16S ribosomal RNA". It matches the Rfam family "Bacterial small subunit ribosomal RNA", at positions 524 to 776 of the family's 1533-position model. The record is from RNAcentral.
UACGGAGGGGGCGAGCGUUGUCCGAAGUUACUGGGCGUAAAGCGCGCGUAGGCGGGUUGCUAAGUCCGCUGUGAAAGCCCGAGGCUCAACCUCGGAGGGUCGGUGGAUACUGGCAGUCUUGAAGGUGGUAGGGGGAGAUGGAAUUACCGGUGUAGCGGUGAAAUGCGUAGAUAUCUGGAGGAAUACCGGUGGCGAAGGCGGCAUCCUGGACCAUUACUGACGCUGAGGCGCGAAAGCUAGGGGAGCAAACGGG